UACGGAGGGUGCGAGCGUUGUCCGGAAUCACUGGGCGUAAAGCGCACGUAGGCGGAUUGCUAAGUCAGGGGUGAAAUCCUGGAGCUCAACUCCAGAACUGCCUUUGAUACUGGCGAUCUCGAGUCCGGGAGAGGUGAGUGGAUCUGCGAGUGUAGAGGUGAAAUUCGUAGAUAUUCGCAAGAACACCAGUGGCGAAGGCGGCUCACUGGCCCGGUACUGACGCUGAGGUGCGAAAGCGUGGGGAGCAAACAGG
RNAcentral lists this ribosomal RNA (253 nucleotides) under uncultured bacterium. RNAcentral's name for it is "partial 16S ribosomal RNA". It matches the Rfam family "Bacterial small subunit ribosomal RNA", at positions 524 to 776 of the family's 1533-position model. The record is from RNAcentral.